CAAACUAAAGCUAAUAAAUAGUAUUUUAUUUACACUAAAAUUCAAAAUUGUUUUAUCAAUUUAGGUUGA
This 69-nucleotide transfer RNA is filed under the name Trombonia linearis. Its description in RNAcentral is "tRNA-Val". Lineage: Eukaryota; Metazoa; Arthropoda; Insecta; Hemiptera; Cicadidae. The record is from RNAcentral.